AUGGGCCCAUGGGCUUACCUGGCCCGAACGAAAGCCCUGUUUUCUACUAGUGUUAGUUUUCACGACAUCAACCCGACGGAUUGGAGACUUGUGCCCUCGGUGAGAGUUUGGUGGAACGAGGUUUGUCACGAAAGGGGUGACUUGCGCAAGGCUCGGAACACCUUGAUGAUGCUUGCUGCGUGGGAAAUCUGGAACAAGCGCAACGCGAGGAACUUCCGCAACAUAGCCGCCCCUACUACCGUCGUCAUCGCCAAGAUCAAGGAUGAAGCCUCUCUUUGGGCUCGUGUGCGUGCGAAGUAUUUGAGUAAUAUAAUGCCGCGAGAGUAA
RNAcentral lists this ribosomal RNA (327 nucleotides) under Triticum aestivum (bread wheat). RNAcentral's name for it is "partial small subunit ribosomal RNA". Lineage: Eukaryota; Viridiplantae; Streptophyta; Magnoliopsida; Poales; Poaceae. The record is from RNAcentral.